This 425-nucleotide ribosomal RNA is filed under the name uncultured bacterium. Its description in RNAcentral is "bacterial SSU rRNA". It matches the Rfam family "Bacterial small subunit ribosomal RNA", at positions 354 to 796 of the family's 1533-position model. The record is from RNAcentral.
GUGGGGAAUAUUGGACAAUGGGCGCAAGCCUGAUCCAGCAAUGCCGCGUGGGUGAAGAAGGUCUUCGGAUCGUAAAGCCCUUUCGACAGGGACGAUGAUGACGGUACCUGUAGAAGAAGCCCCGGCUAACUUCGUGCCAGCAGCCGCGGUAAUACGGAGGGGGCUAGCGUUACUCGGAAUUACUGGGCGUAAAGGGCGCGUAGGCGGCUCUGUUAGUCAGGCGUGAAAUUCCUGGGCUUAACCUGGGGACUGCGCUUGAUACUGCAGGGCUUGAGGCCGAGAGAGGGUGGUGGAAUUCCCAGUGUAGAGGUGAAAUUCGUAGAUAUUGGGAAGAACACCGGUGGCGAAGGCGACCACCUGGCUCGGUUCUGACGCUGAGGCGCGACAGCGUGGGGAGCAAACAGGAUUAGAUACCCUGGUAGUCC